AUGCUUUUCGAGAACCACAAUCUGAUUUCUUAGACCUGUUACAGUCAAAACUUGGAAAUGUUCUUCCUUCCAACCAGUUUCAUUUUCAGCAAGAACAGUUGCAGGCACAACAAUUAUCUUUGUCACUGAAACAGCAGUUAGGAAUGGAGGUGGAAGGACAUUUCAACGGGCCAUGGUCUGUUGGUGAAGCUCGUCAGCUUUCUCAGAAUUCUGAUGUUCUUCACCAGUCUGUGUCUUUAGGAUUUAAUGCUUCAGAUUUCUACCAGCUG
Molecule: unclassified non-coding RNA, 269 nt
Filed under: Hevea brasiliensis (rubber tree)
Lineage: Eukaryota; Viridiplantae; Streptophyta; Magnoliopsida; Malpighiales; Euphorbiaceae
Source: RNAcentral